RNAcentral lists this ribosomal RNA (2932 nucleotides) under Escherichia coli. Its description in RNAcentral is "23S ribosomal RNA". It matches the Rfam family "Bacterial large subunit ribosomal RNA". The record is from RNAcentral. Lineage: Bacteria; Pseudomonadati; Pseudomonadota; Gammaproteobacteria; Enterobacterales; Enterobacteriaceae.
GGGUUGUGAGGUUAAGCGACUAAGCGUACACGGUGGAUGCCCUGGCAGUCAGAGGCGAUGAAGGACGUGCUAAUCUGCGAUAAGCGUCGGUAAGGUGAUAUGAACCGUUAUAACCGGCGAUUUCCGAAUGGGGAAACCCAGUGUGUUUCGACACACUAUCAUUAACUGAAUCCAUAGGUUAAUGAGGCGAACCGGGGGAACUGAAACAUCUAAGUACCCCGAGGAAAAGAAAUCAACCGAGAUUCCCCCAGUAGCGGCGAGCGAACGGGGAGCAGCCCAGAGCCUGAAUCAGUGUGUGUGUUAGUGGAAGCGUCUGGAAAGGCGCGCGAUACAGGGUGACAGCCCCGUACACAAAAAUGCACAUACUGUGAGCUCGAUGAGUAGGGCGGGACACGUGGUAUCCUGUCUGAAUAUGGGGGGACCAUCCUCCAAGGCUAAAUACUCCUGACUGACCGAUAGUGAACCAGUACCGUGAGGGAAAGGCGAAAAGAACCCCGGCGAGGGGAGUGAAAAAGAACCUGAAACCGUGUACGUACAAGCAGUGGGAGCACGCUUCGGCGUGUGACUGCGUACCUUUUGUAUAAUGGGUCAGCGACUUAUAUUCUGUAGCAAGGUUAACCGAAUAGGGGAGCCGAAGGGAAACCGAGUCUUAACUGGGCGUUAAGUUGCAGGGUAUAGACCCGAAACCCGGUGAUCUAGCCAUGGGCAGGUUGAAGGUUGGGUAACACUAACUGGAGGACCGAACCGACUAAUGUUGAAAAAUUAGCGGAUGACUUGUGGCUGGGGGUGAAAGGCCAAUCAAACCGGGAGAUAGCUGGUUCUCCCCGAAAGCUAUUUAGGUAGCGCCUCGUGAAUUCAUCUCCGGGGGUAGAGCACUGUUUCGGCAAGGGGGUCAUCCCGACUUACCAACCCGAUGCAAACUGCGAAUACCGGAGAAUGUUAUCACGGGAGACACACGGCGGGUGCUAACGUCCGUCGUGAAGAGGGAAACAACCCAGACCGCCAGCUAAGGUCCCAAAGUCAUGGUUAAGUGGGAAACGAUGUGGGAAGGCCCAGACAGCCAGGAUGUUGGCUUAGAAGCAGCCAUCAUUUAAAGAAAGCGUAAUAGCUCACUGGUCGAGUCGGCCUGCGCGGAAGAUGUAACGGGGCUAAACCAUGCACCGAAGCUGCGGCAGCGACACUAUGUGUUGUUGGGUAGGGGAGCGUUCUGUAAGCCUGUGAAGGUGUGCUGUGAGGCAUGCUGGAGGUAUCAGAAGUGCGAAUGCUGACAUAAGUAACGAUAAAGCGGGUGAAAAGCCCGCUCGCCGGAAGACCAAGGGUUCCUGUCCAACGUUAAUCGGGGCAGGGUGAGUCGACCCCUAAGGCGAGGCCGAAAGGCGUAGUCGAUGGGAAACAGGUUAAUAUUCCUGUACUUGGUGUUACUGCGAAGGGGGGACGGAGAAGGCUAUGUUGGCCGGGCGACGGUUGUCCCGGUUUAAGCGUGUAGGCUGGUUUUCCAGGCAAAUCCGGAAAAUCAAGGCUGAGGCGUGAUGACGAGGCACUACGGUGCUGAAGCAACAAAUGCCCUGCUUCCAGGAAAAGCCUCUAAGCAUCAGGUAACAUUAAAUCGUACCCCAAACCGACACAGGUGGUCAGGUAGAGAAUACCAAGGCGCUUGAGAGAACUCGGGUGAAGGAACUAGGCAAAAUGGUGCCGUAACUUCGGGAGAAGGCACGCUGAUAUGUAGGUGAAGUCCCUCGCGGAUGGAGCUGAAAUCAGUCGAAGAUACCAGCUGGCUGCAACUGUUUAUUAAAAACACAGCACUGUGCAAACACGAAAGUGGACGUAUACGGUGUGACGCCUGCCCGGUGCCGGAAGGUUAAUUGAUGGGGUUAGCGGUAACGCGAAGCUCUUGAUCGAAGCCCCGGUAAACGGCGGCCGUAACUAUAACGGUCCUAAGGUAGCGAAAUUCCUUGUCGGGUAAGUUCCGACCUGCACGAAUGGCGUAAUGAUGGCCAGGCUGUCUCCACCCGAGACUCAGUGAAAUUGAACUCGCUGUGAAGAUGCAGUGUACCCGCGGCAAGACGGAAAGACCCCGUGAACCUUUACUAUAGCUUGACACUGAACAUUGAGCCUUGAUGUGUAGGAUAGGUGGGAGGCUUUGAAGUGUGGACGCCAGUCUGCAUGGAGCCGACCUUGAAAUACCACCCUUUAAUGUUUGAUGUUCUAACGUUGACCCGUAAUCCGGGUUGCGGACAGUGUCUGGUGGGUAGUUUGACUGGGGCGGUCUCCUCCUAAAGAGUAACGGAGGAGCACGAAGGUUGGCUAAUCCUGGUCGGACAUCAGGAGGUUAGUGCAAUGGCAUAAGCCAGCUUGACUGCGAGCGUGACGGCGCGAGCAGGUGCGAAAGCAGGUCAUAGUGAUCCGGUGGUUCUGAAUGGAAGGGCCAUCGCUCAACGGAUAAAAGGUACUCCGGGGAUAACAGGCUGAUACCGCCCAAGAGUUCAUAUCGACGGCGGUGUUUGGCACCUCGAUGUCGGCUCAUCACAUCCUGGGGCUGAAGUAGGUCCCAAGGGUAUGGCUGUUCGCCAUUUAAAGUGGUACGCGAGCUGGGUUUAGAACGUCGUGAGACAGUUCGGUCCCUAUCUGCCGUGGGCGCUGGAGAACUGAGGGGGGCUGCUCCUAGUACGAGAGGACCGGAGUGGACGCAUCACUGGUGUUCGGGUUGUCAUGCCAAUGGCACUGCCCGGUAGCUAAAUGCGGAAGAGAUAAGUGCUGAAAGCAUCUAAGCACGAAACUUGCCCCGAGAUGAGUUCUCCCUGACUCCUUGAGAGUCCUGAAGGAACGUUGAAGACGACGACGUUGAUAGGCCAGGUGUGUAAGCGCAGCGAUGCGUUGAGCUAACCGGUACUAAUGAACCGUGAGGCUUAACCUUACAACGCCGAAGGUGUUU